GCCCGAAUGGCGAAAUCGGUAGACGCAAGGGACUUAAAAUCCCUCGCCAGUUACUGGCGUGCCGGUUCAAAUCCGGCUUCGGGCA
Molecule: transfer RNA, 85 nt
Filed under: Ventosimonas gracilis
Lineage: Bacteria; Pseudomonadati; Pseudomonadota; Gammaproteobacteria; Pseudomonadales; Ventosimonadaceae
Rfam family: tRNA
About the family: Transfer RNA (tRNA) molecules are approximately 80 nucleotides in length.
Source: Rfam by way of RNAcentral